This 483-nucleotide ribosomal RNA is filed under the name uncultured bacterium. Its description in RNAcentral is "partial 16S ribosomal RNA". It matches the Rfam family "Bacterial small subunit ribosomal RNA", at positions 30 to 506 of the family's 1533-position model. The record is from RNAcentral.
AUUGAACGCUGGCGGCAGGCCUAACACAUGCAAGUCGAGCGGAUGAAGGGAGCUUGCUCCUGGAUUCAGCGGCGGACGGGUGAGUAAUGCCUAGGAAUCUGCCUGGUAGUGGGGGAUAACGUCCCGAAACGGGCGCUAAUACCGCAUACGUCCUGAGGGAGAAAGUGGGGGAUCUUCGGACCUCACGCUAUCAGAUGAGCCUAGGUCGGAUUAGCUAGUUGGUGGGGUAAAGGCCUACCAAGGCGACGAUCCGUAACUGGUCUGAGAGGAUGAUCAGUCACACUGGAACUGAGACACGGUCCAGACUCCUACGGGAGGCAGCAGUGGGGAAUAUUGGACAAUGGGCGAAAGCCUGAUCCAGCCAUGCCGCGUGUGUGAAGAAGGUCUUCGGAUUGUAAAGCACUUUAAGUUGGGAGGAAGGGCAGUAAGUUAAUACCUUGCUGUUUUGACGUUACCAACAGAAUAAGCACCGGCUAACUUCGU